Molecule: unclassified non-coding RNA, 378 nt
Filed under: uncultured Alphaproteobacteria bacterium
Lineage: Bacteria; Pseudomonadati; Pseudomonadota; Alphaproteobacteria
Description: contains 16S-23S intergenic spacer region
Source: RNAcentral
UCGCGGCUUAUCACCGGCAGUCCCCCUAGAGUGCCCAACUGAAUGAUGGCAACUAGGGGCGAGGGUUGCGCUCGUUGCGGGACUUAACCCAACAUCUCACGACACGAGCUGACGACAGCCAUGCAGCACCUGUGUUCCGGCCAGCCGAACUGAAGAGGAAUGUCUCCACUCCCCAUACCGGGCAUGUCAAGGCCUGGUAAGGUUCUUCGCGUUGCCUCGAAUUAAACCACAUGUUCCACCGCUUGUGCGGGUCCCCGUCAAUUCCUUUGAGUUUUAAUCUUGCGACCGUACUCCCCAGGCGGAGCGCUUAACGCGUUAGCUGCGCCACCGGGGGCAAGCCCCCAACGGCUAGCGCUCAUCGUUUACGGCGUGGACUUC